AUGGAGAGAAUUUUUAUUGGUGAUAUGUGUGACGGUGCUGCUGAUCUAGUUCAGAGCUUGGUUCGUCUGUGGAACAACAUGAAGCGUUUCAAAACUAUGCAAGACUCUCGCUGCAAGCCAUAUGAAGAAAGUGCAAAUGUUAUUAUCAGGCAGAUUGAGCAGGAUGAGGCUGCUGCCACCGACAGCAGGGCUGGUGAUGGUACCGAGGCUAAUGUUUCUAAUCACGAAACGAAUGAUGUUGGCUUGGAGCGCCCUGUUGUUGAUAUUGAGCAGGAUGAGGCUGCUGCCACCGACAGCAGGGUUGAUGAUGGUACUCAGGCUAAUGUUUCUGAUCACCAUACGAACGAUGUUGGCUUGGAGCACCCUGUUGUUGAUGAGGCCAGUCAUAAUGUUGAGGCUGUCGUUGACUGUGGAGUUAAUGAUCCAUCUACUGAUAAGUGCAAGGGUCUUGUUGUUGGCGACGAGCCUUGUUCGCCCAUUGGUGAUGUUCCUUUGAAUGUUAGCAGCAGCAAGAUCGAUGAUGUUGCUGUGAAUGCUUCUAAGAUGACUGAUGUUGAGCGUGAGGCUGUCAUUAGUGGUGGAGAUGAUGCUCGUGGUGUUCCAUUGAGUAGUGGGCGCGAUGUUGGUAUCGAAGUUGCUGAUGAAGAUGUUGGUGCCGCCAGCAUACUUGAUGCCAAAUCGUCUGGUGUUGGUAUUGCUGGGAAUGAAAAUGUUUUUGAUUGUGAAGAUUUGCCGCCGGAGAAUUUCCCGCCUGGAGGUCCUGAUUACGGUGAUGCAUUGCAAGAUGCCUCUAGCGUGGAGGAGUUGCCAUCUGAGGAUGAUGAUUUACUUCUAUCGAUUUCUUCUGGCCCCUUGACGCAGGAGGCGCUCGUGUCGUCCCAGGAUUUUCUUUCUACAGACCCUGAAAGCACAGCAAUAUUGGUGUCCUCUCAAGAUGUCCCAUCGUCAAACCCUGAAACUGGAGGCAUAUUGGUCUCAUCACAGGAACUACCGUCGUUGUCAAACGCUGAUAGUGCAGCAUAA
RNAcentral lists this ribosomal RNA (1023 nucleotides) under Triticum aestivum (bread wheat). Its description in RNAcentral is "partial small subunit ribosomal RNA". The record is from RNAcentral. Lineage: Eukaryota; Viridiplantae; Streptophyta; Magnoliopsida; Poales; Poaceae.